This 253-nucleotide ribosomal RNA is filed under the name uncultured bacterium. RNAcentral describes it as "partial 16S ribosomal RNA". It matches the Rfam family "Bacterial small subunit ribosomal RNA", at positions 524 to 776 of the family's 1533-position model. The record is from RNAcentral.
GACGUAGGGCGCGAGCGUUGUCCGGAUUUAUUGGGCGUAAAGAGCUCGUAGGCGGCUUGUUGCGUCGACUGUGAAAACCCGCGGCUUAACUGCGGGCUUGCAGUUGAUACGGGCAGGCUAGAGUUCGGUAGGGGAGACUGGAAUUCCUGGUGUAGCGGUGAAAUGCGCAGAUAUCAGGAGGAACACCGGUGGCGAAGGCGGGAUCCUGGGCCAGUACUGACGCUGAGGAGCGAAAGCGUGGGGAGCAAACAGG